This 465-nucleotide long non-coding RNA is filed under the name Elaeis guineensis (African oil palm). RNAcentral's name for it is "long non-coding RNA (EGUI_LNC078714)". The record is from RNAcentral. Lineage: Eukaryota; Viridiplantae; Streptophyta; Magnoliopsida; Arecales; Arecaceae.
UGGGGCCAUGGCUAUGGAGUGAGGUGAGGCGAUAGAGGAGGAGGGAGAAUAGGAGGGUGAGGAUGAGAAGACUUGAGACUCUUUGGAAAGUGUUCUUGAUAGGGAGUCUCUCUUGGAGAGGAAGGUUGUGGAGGGUGGCCAUGAGUGGAGGAUAGGAUAAACAAGGAGGCUUCUGCUUUUGCCGUCUGAUUUAUAGAUGAUCAUAAGGUGCUGUUUCCUACCUAGAUUCCUGUUCUUCUAUAACCACAAAUUCAAAUGCCAAACUGGAGACGUCACGUGCAAUACCAUCACUUAGUAAAUUAUCUAGAAAUUAAUUAUUGAUAUAUAUAUAUAUAUAUAUAGAGAGAGAGAGAGAGAGAGAGAGUCAGAUUAAAAUUAGCUCAAUCAGAUCUAGGUUCAAGCCUGAUCAGGUCAAAAUUCUAUAAUAAGAAUCCUAUAUCAAUAAUUCGAACCAUUGAAUAUGAU